This 429-nucleotide ribosomal RNA is filed under the name Pseudomonadota bacterium. RNAcentral describes it as "Proteobacteria bacterium partial 16S ribosomal RNA". It matches the Rfam family "Bacterial small subunit ribosomal RNA", at positions 355 to 776 of the family's 1533-position model. Lineage: Bacteria; Pseudomonadati; Pseudomonadota. The record is from RNAcentral.
UGGGGAAUAUUGGACAAUGGGCGAAAGCCUGAUCCAGCCAUGCCGCGUGUGUGAAGAAGGUCUUCGGAUUGUAAAGCACUUUAAGUUGGGAGGAAGGGCAGUAAGCGAAUACCUUGCUGUUUUGACGUUACCGACAGAAUAAGCACCGGCUAACUCUGUGCCAGCAGCCGCGGUAAUACAGAGGGUGCAAGCGUUAAUCGGAAUUACUGGGCGUAAAGCGCGCGUAGGUGGUUCGUUAAGUUGAAUGUGAAAGCCCCGGGCUCAACCUGGGAACUGCAUCCAAAACUGGCGAGCUAGAGUAGGGCAGAGGGUGGUGGAAUUUCCUGUGUAGCGGUGAAAUGCGUAGAUAUAGGAAGGAACACCAGUGGCGAAGGUGACCACCUGGGCUCAUACUGACACUGAGGUGUGAAAGCGUGGGGAGCAAACAGG